Molecule: ribosomal RNA, 406 nt
Filed under: uncultured bacterium
Lineage: Bacteria
Description: partial 16S ribosomal RNA
Rfam family: Bacterial small subunit ribosomal RNA
Source: RNAcentral
AUUGAACGCUAGCGGGAGGCUUAACACAUGCAAGUCGAACGGAGUGGCGGACGGGUGAGAAAUAUAUGGGAACGUGCCCAGUGGGGGGGAUAAACUACCGGAAAAGGGGGCUAAUACCGACACUAUGGGGGGUGCGGAAAUGGGAUUAGCUGGUUGGGGGGGUAAGGGCUCACCAAGGCAACGAUCCGUAGCUGGUUUGAGAGGACGACCAGCCACACUGGGACUGAGACACGGCCCAGACUCCUACGGGAGGCAGCAGUGGGGAAUUUUGGACAAUGGGGGAAACCCUGAUCCAGCCAUCCCGCGUGUAUGAUGAAGGCCUUCGGGUUGUAAAGUACUUUUGGCAGAGAAGCGGUAUCUGCAGAAUAAGCACCGGCUAACUACGUGCCAGCAGCCGCGGUAAUAC